CCAGAAUCUAAAACAGAGGUCUGCAUUUGAGCUGCAGCCACUUAGCCUGGGACAGUUUAUUUUGGAUUUAGAAAGAUACUGAUGACCAAUAUGGAAGAAGAGACUCAGGCUGGUGCUUGCAGAAGAUAAAAGAGAAAGCCAUUGGUUAACAAGACAGUAGAGUACUUGCCUAAUCAUAGUUAUACAGUAAAACACUUCUGUACUGUGACUUUAAAGGAUUAAAACAGGAGCUUAACAAAGGAUCUCUGCCUUAUCCAGUGACACAGGUGGUUACACCCGUGCUAGUGGAUGCAAGAUUCAAUGUCUGUCUUCAUUCUUCCAGACUUCUUGUUUCUGUCUGUUCCAUGGUUCUUCUUCAAAUUAACUCUCAUCCUCAAUGGGAUCAACGCUUCUCAGGAAGAGCUUCCACAAGUGCAAGAUCACAUUGAAAUGGAAGAAGGGUGUCUCUUGUUCCCAGGUUUCAUCCAGUUUGGUAAAAUUGCUGGAUCUACUCCUACUGCAAGCAGACAAAGUUAUCCAUUUUCCUUCUCCUUCAGUCAUACUGUCAUAUACCUGCAUGUAAGUUAUGUCACUGUACCUUGUCUAGACUUAUUAGUUAAAUAAAUAAAUAAAUAAAAUGGUUAUGGGUAAGGUGAAUGGUAA
RNAcentral lists this long non-coding RNA (642 nucleotides) under Anas platyrhynchos platyrhynchos (common mallard). RNAcentral describes it as "lncRNA (ENSAPLG00000030842.1)". The record is from RNAcentral. Lineage: Eukaryota; Metazoa; Chordata; Aves; Anseriformes; Anatidae.